UACGAAGGGGGCUAGCGUUGCUCGGAAUGACUGGGCGUAAAGGGCGCGUAGGCGGCGUGCACAGUCGGAUGUGAAAUUCCUGGGCUUAACCUGGGGGCUGCAUUCGAUACGUGCAUGCUUGAGUGCGGAAGAGGGUCGUGGAAUUCCCAGUGUAGAGGUGAAAUUCGUAGAUAUCGGGAGGAACACCAGUGGCGAAGGCGGCUUCCUGGACCAGUACUGACGCUGAGGCGCGAAAGCUAGGGGAGCAAACAGG
RNAcentral lists this ribosomal RNA (253 nucleotides) under uncultured bacterium. RNAcentral describes it as "partial 16S ribosomal RNA". It matches the Rfam family "Bacterial small subunit ribosomal RNA", at positions 524 to 776 of the family's 1533-position model. The record is from RNAcentral.